CAACACACGGCCAAACCCUGCCAUGGAAUUGCUGGGCUUUUUGGGGUAUCUACUCCGUGGGCGCAGCAAGUAGGUAAUUUUUGCGUCUUCCUUCUUUCUCCUUCGGAUCUUGAUGAAGGUUCCAGAUAAAGUCAAGGUGCUUUUGGACAAGAGACGAUAUGAGCCACCUUCCUUCCUCAGUCACUGUCAUGUUUACGGUGGUUGAGGCUCCUCCCACCAAAUUAACAGCAGAAACUCGACGAUGUUUUUGCUCCAUGGACUGGCCAUUGAUAUGAAUGGAGAAGAUUUCUGGCUUGGAACUCAUUCCUAUCAAGUGCCAGCUAAUGUUGUCAUAUGCGCAAGCCUCUAAAUCUGAAAGAGACAUGAGACAGGGUUCAGAAUACAGGCAAAUCAUGCAAGCUCCCCAUGCACCCUAGAUUUGAAGUGAGUCUUCACUGAAAACAUUAAAAAAAAUUGCUGUGAUCAAUGUUUUCAACAAGAGGAAGUUUCAGAAGCAUGUAAGUGGAACAGAUACCAAAAUCAUGUGUCAGUGGAAGACAAAUGUUUAAAUCUUACCUACAAGUGACAAAGUGACUUACAACAAGCUGGCAAAAAACGGGGAAAAAAACCAGUGCCUUCUUUCGGAAAGCUGACCUGUCCUUGCUUGGGGAGUGAGGGGAAAACAGGGCAGGCAGGGAAUGGAAAGAACAAAGCAAGGAUCUAAGCUAAAGACUGAUGUGAUACCUAGUGACAGUAACUACCCUUCUCAAAAUUAAAAAAAACCCACUUAAGACAA
Molecule: long non-coding RNA, 775 nt
Organism: Passer montanus (Eurasian tree sparrow)
Lineage: Eukaryota; Metazoa; Chordata; Aves; Passeriformes; Passeridae
Exons: 2
Source: RefSeq, a predicted model, not a curated record